ACUAAUUUGGCAGAUUAAUUGUAUCAAAUUUAGAAUUUGAAGAUAGUAUAAACUAAUUAGUA
This 62-nucleotide transfer RNA is filed under the name Carios vespertilionis. RNAcentral's name for it is "tRNA-Leu". The record is from RNAcentral. Lineage: Eukaryota; Metazoa; Arthropoda; Arachnida; Ixodida; Argasidae.